Molecule: ribosomal RNA, 486 nt
Filed under: uncultured bacterium
Lineage: Bacteria
Description: SSU rRNA
Rfam family: Bacterial small subunit ribosomal RNA
Source: RNAcentral
AGAACGAACGCUGGCGGCGUGGAUAAGACAUGCAAGUCGAACGGAACUUAUUCGGUAGUAAUACUGGAUAAGUUUAGUGGCGAACGGGUGCGUAACACGUGAGUAAUCUGCCGAGAAGUGGGGGAUAGCUUGCCGAAAGGCAAAUUAAUACCGCAUAUGACCAGGGAGGACAUCCUUCCGACGUCAAAGCCGUAAGGCGCUUCUUGAUGAGCUCGCGGCCUAUCAGCUAGUUGGUGAGGUAAUGGCUCACCAAGGCUAUGACGGGUAGCUGGUCUGAGAGGACGACCAGCCACACUGGAACUGAGACACGGUCCAGACACCUACGGGUGGCAGCAGUCGAGAAUUUUUCACAAUGGGGGAAACCCUGAUGGAGCGACGCCGCGUGGAGGAUGAAGGCCUUUGGUCGUAAACUCCUGUCAAACGGGAACAAGAAGUGAUAGUACCGUUAGAGGAAGAGACGGCUAACUCUGCGCCAGCAGCCGCGGU